Molecule: long non-coding RNA, 5799 nt
Organism: Equus caballus (horse)
Lineage: Eukaryota; Metazoa; Chordata; Mammalia; Perissodactyla; Equidae
Source: Ensembl
AGACUUUGUAUACGUGAUUAAGUUAAGGAUCUUGAGAUGGGAAGAUUACCCGGGAUUAUCUGAGUGGGCCCUAAAUGCCAUGACAAUGUCCUUAUAAAAGGGAGGUUACACGCAGAAGAGGAAAAGACAGCGUGAUGGAGGUGGAGAUUGGAAUGAUGCAGCCACAAGCCAAGGAAUGCUGGCAGCCACCAGAAGCUGGAAGAGGCAAGGGAUAGAUUCUCUCCUAGAGCUUUCCAAGGGAGGGCAGCCUGCUCGCACUUUGAUUUCUGUCUACUGAAACUCAUUUUGCACUUCUGGCUUCCAGAACUGUGAGAGAAUAAAUUCCUGUUAUUUUAAGCCACCAACUUUGUGGUAAUUUGUUAUCACAGCCUUGGGAAACUAAUAUAGUCAUGUGGCCAUUACGUAUAAUAAUCUCCGUUAGUUCCUCAAUAACUACAUAUUUAAUACUGACUAAUACUUAUAUGCAUGUCUCGAGUCAUUUUGGUCAUCUCACGUUCAUUGUCUGGUAUCUUUAGGAAGGGCUCAUGGGAACAUUAUUCCCUGAUUUUUUUUUUCGCAUGUUGGCAACCUUUUGUCAAAACCACUGGAUACAGAAUCCUUCACAUUUUCUUUAUCUUAAAUGUUAUUACUCCAUCUCUUUGUGGCAUGAAGCUUGUUGUAAGUCUGAUGAUAAUCUAAUUUUUUCCCUUAUAAUUUGUGUAUUGUUUUUCUUAGAUGCCCAAAUGAUCUUUUUCUUUCAAGUCCAGUAAUUUUCCUAGAGUAUAUCUUGAUAUCCAUCUGACUCAGUAUUCUCAGGUACACAAUAUGCUCUUUCAACAUGAGGUUUCAGAUAUUUUCUUCUUUGGGAAAGUUUCCAUGAAUUGUUUUCUCUGUCUCCCAACUUUAUCUUCUAAUGCCAUGUAGUACCCACAGGCCCCAUCUCUAAGUCACUAUCAGUCUGCCACUAAGAACUCGAAUAAGUCUUGAUGCCACAGCUCCUAGAAUUUUUACCGAAGCCUGCAGUGAGCUAUGAAAAAAGAAAGUUAGGUCAGACUCACGUUCACGACAUAAAACCCCUGCAGAAUCCCAUGGUGGAGCCUCAACUGGACUUAAGGAAAGCUGCUUCACACCCCUUCCUUAGGUCCCCCUUACAGCAAACAGCCCAUGUUCCCAGAAGCACUGAGAGCAGCAGCAGAUGACCUGUAGCUGCCUCCCUAAUGCAGGAUUUAGAGCUGGAAUGGACAGCGACACCUGGCUCAUCCCCACCCACACCUGGACAGCUGGAGCAGUUUGGAAGGGACCAUAACAAGACAGAAGUCAAGGCUCAAUCCUAAACCAGCUGUGUGAUCUUGAAUAAAUCACCAAACUCAUUCAAGCGUGGGUGUCAACUAAAUCCAAAAAAAGGAAGAGACGGCCUCGAAAUGUCCAAGAAUCUGCCACGCGUCCACAUCCACCUCCCGGCCAGGUUCAGGACAAGCCCAGGACACACCUACAGACUCAGCUCAGAUGCUCAGCGGAUGUUUAUUAAACCAUCCAUCCAUCAACAAGACUGUGUUGAUGGUUAGCCCUAACAAGCAUGAUUAGGGUCUGGUUCUCUAAUUCUGUUUGACGGGUUUUGUGGGCUCCAGGGGAAGAAUGAAGCACGCAAAAGUUUACCAAGGCUGACUCAACACACUCCACCAAAACCUAAAUGAGACCAGAGUCUGCAAAACAAGCAAAUAUCACCCUGCCGGCCAACCCAUCUGCUGUCCCAGUGGAAGAUUAGAGUCAGCGGAACUACGAGGACGGGGAAGAAGGAGCAGAACCAAUCCAUGUUUAUGAUGCCAUCAGGGCCACCCCAUCAGACAGCCAAGUCUGCCUUCAGGGUGAGGCAAGAGUAGGCCAAGGCCUUCCUCCCCUCCUGCGGGGUAACAACUCAGUCCCACCCAUCAGCUGAGAGCCAAGCUACGUACUCUGCCAUUGGCACAGGUCUCUCCUACGAUACGUACACUGAUAUAACUCGCUUUGAGGAAGGUCAGGAAGGUCAUGGAUGAGCACUUUACACCUACCGAGGCCUUAAUCAGUCAGAGAAUAACUGGGCUGCCAGAGGAAUCUUAGAGUACAUCUUCUGGGUCACACUUAGGAGAAACACAAGUCCCAGAGGACAAAAAACUACACUGUGGGCCCCGUUCAUAUUGCAUAACUCUGUAGGGCUGCUUAAUGUUUUUCAGAAGUGUCCACAGUAUGUGCUCCACUAAUCUGUACAUAGCCUGAGGGAGAGAUUAAAUGCCUAAUACACACCUAAAGCCCUCACCACCAAAAACACUGCCUGCACGUGAAAAAGUCCCCUUUGCACAUCUGUUCCUGGAUAAUUCUGAAAGUCCACAGGAUAUACCAAGCUUGCAGGAUACCACAGUACAUCACAUAACCCUUGCACCCAACAGGGUCUUGUUCAAGGCUGCAGCCCUAAAACCUCGCAUGGGACCUGACGUGCCACAGAACUCAGUAAAUGACCUACUGAUUGCAAUAAUGAAAUUAUCUUUGAAGAAAACAUAGGCAGUACAGUCUUUGACAUCAGUAUUAAAAGGAUCUUUUCGGACACCAUGCCUUCUCAGAGAAGGGAAACAAUAGAAAGAAUAAACAAAUGGGACUUCAUCAGAUUAAAGAGCUUCUUCAAGGCAAAUGAAAACAGGAUUGAAACAAAAAAACAACCCACUAACUGGGAAAAAAUAUUUGCAAGUCAUAUAUCUGACAAAGGCUUAAUAUCCUUAAUAUAUAAAGAACUCUCGCAACUCAACCACAAAACAUCAAACAACCCAAUCAAAAAAUGGGCUGGAGACAUGAACAGACAUUUCUCCAAAGAAGAUAUACUGAUGGCCAAUAGGCACAUGAAAAGAUGCUCAUCAUCGCUGAUCAUCAGGGAAAUGCAAAUCAAAACUACACUAAGAUAUCACCUGACACCCGUUAGAAUGACAAAAGUAUCUAAAACUAAUAGCAACAAAUGUUGGAGAGGUUGCGGAGAAAAAGGAACCCUCAUACACUGCUGGUGGGAAUGCAAACUGGUGCAGCCACUAUGGAAAACAGUAUGGAGAUUCCUCAAAAAACUAAAAAUAGAACUACCAUAAGAUCCAGCCAUCCCACUACUGGGUAUUUAUCCAAAGAGCCUGAAGUCAGCAAUCCCAAAAGUCCUGUGCACCCCAAUGUUUAUUGCAGCACUGUUUACAAUAGCCAAGACGUGGAAGCAACCUAAGUGCCCAUCAACAGACGAAUGGAUAAAGAAGAUGUGGUACAGGGGCCGGCCCGGUGGCACAGCGGUUAAGUUCGCACGUUCCGCUUCUCGGCGGCCCGGGGUUCGCUGGUUCGGAUCCCGGGUGCGGACAUGGCACUGCUUGGCAGCCAUGCUGUGGUAGGCGUCCCACGUAUAAACUAGAGGAAGAUGGGCACGGAUGUUAGCUCAGAGCCAGGCUUCCUCAGCAAAAAGAGGAGGACUGGCAGUAGUUAGCUGAGGGCUAAUCUUUCUCCAAAAACAAAAACAAACAAACACAAAAACAAACAAACAAAAAAAACACCACACAAAAAAAAGAUGUGGUACAUAUAUACAAUGGAAUACUACUCAGCUGCAAAACAGAACAAAAUCAUUUCAUUUGCAAUAACAUGGAUGGACCUUGAGAGGAUUAUGUUAAGUGAAAUAAGCCAGCGAGAGAAAGAUAAUCUGUGUAUGACUCCACUCAUAUGAGGAAUUUAAAACUAUGGAUCAAGAACAGUUUAGUGGAUACCAGGGGAAAGGUGGGGUGGGGGGUGGGCACAAAGGGUGAAGUGGUGCACCUACAACAUGACUGACAAACAUUAAUGUACAAUUGAAAUUUCACAAGAUUGUAACCUAUCAAUAACUCAAUAAAAAAAAAAGAAAUUAAAGCUGAGAAAGGUGAAAUGACUUGCCCAAAAUCUUAGCAAACAGUUCACGUCAAGGCUGGUACUAAAAAAGGUCUCCAAACACCAGGGUCCUCCAUCUUGCUGUGGCACAAAUAACCAAACUCUCAGGAGCCCUGUUUACAGGUGGGUUAAUGGUCUAAAAAGGUCCCUACAGAACUUGACACACAGGACAAAAGAUGAUUUAACCUUCUAGGACUACCUCAUGACUGAAUUCAGGCUAAACCUUGUCAGCAAGAGCACUGCAUAGUUAGUGCUGUCUGCUCCUUGCACAGCCCAGCUGGUGGCACAGAACGCCCGGUCUGUCAUGUUGUCUUCUGCCAGUUGCUCCUGAUUCCGCUGAUGUGCAGGAUGGGAACUGAGAGCAGCAAGGGUUAAGGUCUCUCAUAACCGUGUGUGGGUCUCCUCACUGACUUAGCGCAGUUGGAGGCCGAAGGGCUGGGAUUUCUCCCGUCCAACCAGCCUUUGCAGUAAAAACCUUGGGGAGUGCUUUGUGGUUGUGAUGUUGAUCUUCAGCAUAGGAUCCCGUCACUGCUGUGUUUGGGUUUUACAUUGAUUUGCUGUUUUAGAAUUUUUUCAUCAAGUGAAAAUGGUACUUUUUGUGAAGUGGUUUCUUUCAAAUCAGUAAUAUCUUUCCUUAGUUCCAGAGAUCUUGGUAUCUGAGAGACAGAAAGAGAAAAUAAAAAUGAAAUGUGAAAAUGGACAGACAGCUGCCAAGUGAACCCUGCCUGGCUCUGGCACCACUGUCAACUCCCAGAAAUCUGGAAGCUGCAAGGUCUGCCUCUCUCCCUACUGGGGCAUGAUGCGGACUUUGGUCACGAACGACUGUCUUGGCCAGGAAUUAGCUGCCACCGUGGAAACGGCAACCGGGCAGAGGCAGACAUGUGUCCUCCGCUGGGUGACAGAAAAAAGAGAGAACGGGAGAGUGCACGCCAUCCGCCGACAGAUGAGCACACCUCCGGCAUCUGACUGCACGUGACCACACUGGAGAAAGAUCACGGAAUUGGCCCAUCUGAGGACCACGGUGAGAAACACAGAGCACUCUGGGAAAGGGACACUUGGCGGUUGCGUGCAUGGGGGAAACGGGGAUAGUCAGUGCUCGCUGAAUUCCCUCGAUCGGAGAUGCCCAGAUGGCCCCUUCCAAUGGAGUCCCGGGAUUCUUCCGAGUUACCUGCAACACAGGCUGUCUUGGAUGCCCCCGUCGUCCUCCGGAUCGGUGUGUUGGCCUGGAAAGAAAUUCGCACGGGGCCAGUCACACUAAGCAGAUCCCCACUCGACCCUUGGGAAUCCAGUGUCCAGUCCCAGCCCAGGGACCUCCACAUCCUCAGUGUGACAACGGCAGACGGGAAGAGCAAUCUGCCAGGAGACCUCAGGCGGUGUCUCGUGAAAGCGCCGGCCUGGCUUUGCUGAGCCAGCGGGCCGCGUCUCCCCGAUCGGGGAGGCCCUCAGAGCAGGAUGCUCUCCCGAGUCUGGGAAAACAGCCAAAGAGGCGUGGGGCUCACACCUUCUGGGGCACCAGCCUAAGAGCCUGCUCGGACAAGUGCUGGGCUACUCAGCCUUCUCUGCGCAGGGACACUAGUUCUGGAGGCUCGAGUCUAACUCAUCGCCUGAGGGGAGAAGGCCGGCUGCACUCUACAAACCCUGGCAUCCAGAGGCAUCGUCGCCCCUGCUCCGCAGAAACACUGGCCACCCUGUGGGCCGGGAGAAGGCCAAGGCAUAGUACUGGUACAAAAACAGGUGCACAGAUCAAUGGAACAAAAUUGAAAGCCCAGAAAUAAAACCACACAUCUAUGGACAGCUUAUCUUUGACAAAGGAGCUGAGGGCAUACAAUGGAGAAAAGAAAGUCUUUUCAACAAAUGAUGCUGGGAAUACUGGAAAGCCACAUGAAAACAAUGAAAAUUGACCAUUCU